This 898-nucleotide unclassified non-coding RNA is filed under the name Hevea brasiliensis (rubber tree). The record is from RNAcentral. Lineage: Eukaryota; Viridiplantae; Streptophyta; Magnoliopsida; Malpighiales; Euphorbiaceae.
GCCAAAAGCACCGGAAAUAGCAGAUCCUUCUCAUCUUCUCCGGCAAUAGAUCAGUCUUCCGAUAAAUUUCUGCUGCUCUCAUUCCAUCCAUUGCUUCUCAGAUAUUUGAGCAUUGCGAGAAACCAUGUCCGCUAUUGAUGAGCCGUUAUAUCCUAUUGCGGUUUUGAUUGAUGAGUUGAAGAAUGAAGACAUCCAGCUUAGAUUGAAUUCAAUCCGGCGAUUGUCUACCAUCGCCCGUGCUCUUGGUGAGGAGAGAACACGGAAAGAGUUGAUUCCAUUUCUAAGUGAGAACAACGAUGAUGAUGACGAAGUUCUUCUUGCAAUGGCUGAAGAGUUGGGCAUGUUUAUUCCAUAUGUUGGAGGGGUUGAACAUGCGCGUGUAUUGCUUCCACCCUUAGAAGGACUUUGUAGUGUUGAGGAGACUUGUGUUAGGGAAAAGGCAGUUGAGUCAUUAUGCAAAAUUGGGUCCCAAAUGAAGGAAUCGGAUUUGGUGGAAUCAUUUAUUCCACUUGUGAAGAGACUGGCUACUGGAGAGUGGUUCACUGCUCGAGUUUCCUCCUGUGGAUUGUUUCACAUUGCUUAUCCUAGUGCUCCAGAGCCACUAAAGAAUGAACUGAGAACCAUAUAUAGCCAACUUUGUCAAGAUGAUAUGCCUAUGGUGAGGAGAGCAGCUGCCACAAAUCUUGGAAAGUUUGCUGCAACUAUUGAACAACCCCAUCUGAAGACCGACAUCAUGUCAAUGUUUGAGACCCUGACACAGGAUGAUCAAGAUUCUGUCCGUUUAUUGGCUGUCGAGGAUUGUGCUGCUUUGGGGAAGCUGCUGGAGCCUAAAGACUGUGUAGCACAAAUUCUUUCCGUCAUAGUUAAUUUUGCGCAGGAUAAGUCUUGGCGUGUUCGU